UACGUAGGGGGCAAGCGUUGUCCGGAAUCAUUGGGCGUAAAGCGCGUGUAGGCGGCUCGAUAAGUCUGCUGUGAAAGUCCAGGGCUCAACCCUGGGAUGCCGGUGGAAACUGUCGGGCUAGAGUCCGGAAGAGGCGAGUGGAAUUCCCGGUGUAGCGGUGAAAUGCGCAGAUAUCGGGAGGAACACCAAUGGCGAAGGCAGCUCGCUGGGACGGUACUGACGCUGAGACGCGAAAGCGUGGGGAGCAAGCAGG
Molecule: ribosomal RNA, 253 nt
Filed under: uncultured bacterium
Lineage: Bacteria
Description: partial 16S ribosomal RNA
Rfam family: Bacterial small subunit ribosomal RNA
Source: RNAcentral